GCCGUAGCUCAGCGAUAGAGCAUCUGCUUUGAAUGCAGAAUGUCUCAAGUUCAAUCCCCAGCAUCUCCC
Podarcis lilfordi (Lilford's wall lizard) is the source of this 69-nucleotide non-coding RNA. The record is from the annotation of a GenBank genome assembly. Lineage: Eukaryota; Metazoa; Chordata; Lepidosauria; Squamata; Lacertidae.